This 1437-nucleotide ribosomal RNA is filed under the name Candidatus Giovannonibacteria bacterium GW2011_GWB1_47_6b. Its description in RNAcentral is "bacterial SSU rRNA". It matches the Rfam family "Bacterial small subunit ribosomal RNA". The record is from RNAcentral. Lineage: Bacteria; Candidatus Giovannoniibacteriota.
AUGAGAGUUUGAUCCUGGCUCAGGACGAACGCUGGCGGCGUGGAUAAGGCAUGCAAGUCGAACGGAUUUAUUUUUGUUAGCAAUAACUAAAAUGAAUUAGUGGCAGACGAGGUAGUAACACGUAGGUACGUACCCCAAAGUCGGGCAUAACUCAUCGAAAGGUGGGCUAAUUCCCGAUAUUGUCUCGAGAGUAAUCGAGGGACGAAAGGAGCAAUCCGCUUUGGGAACGGCCUGCGGGCUAUCAGCUUGUUGGUAGGGUAACGGCCUACCAAGGCGAUGACGGCUAGGGGGCGUGAGAGCGUGAUCCCCACCGACGGAACUGAGACACGGUCCGUACACCUACGGGUGGCAGCAGUCGAGAAUCUUCGACAAUGGGCGAAAGCCUGAUCGAGCGACGCCGCGUGCAGGAUGAAAUCCUUCGGGAUGUAAACUGCUUUUGGCAGGGAAAAACACAAUGAUGGUACCUGCAGAAUAAGGGCCUGCAAAUCUCGUGCCAGCAGCCGCGGUAAUACGAGAGGCCCAAGCGUUGUCCGGAGUUACUGGGCGUAAAGGGUGCGUAGGGGGUUGUGUUAGCCUCACCUUAAAUCUUCAUGCCUAACAUGAAGGCUGGGCGGGGAACGGCACAACUUGAGGGCGCGAGAGGCGAGUGGAACUCAUGGUGGAGGGGUGAAAUCCGUUGAUAUCAUGGGGAACACCAAAGGCGAAGGCAGCUCGCUGGCGCGUACCUGACCCUGAAGCACGAAAGCGUGGGGAUCAAAAAGGAUUAGAUACCCUUGUAGUCCACGCCCUAAACGAUGAUGACUAGCUAUUGGAAGUAUCGACCCUUCGAGUGGCGAAGCUAACGCGUUAAGUCAUCCGCCUGGGAAGUACGAUCGCAAGAUUAAAACUCAAAGGAAUAGACGGGAAAGGAAAAUUUUCUCACAAGGACGGCGGAACAGGUGCUGCAUGGUUGUCGUCAGUUCGUGGCUUGAGCUGUUCCCUUAAGUGGGGUAACGAACGCAACCCCCGUUGGCUGUUAUACGUGUCAGCUGAGACCGCUCCCCGCCUACGUUUAUAAAUUUUUGUAGAUGUAGGCGGGGAGAGGAAGUGGGGAUGACGCCAAAUCAGCAUGGCCCUCUGAUGCCCUGGGCUACACACGUGCUACAAUGGCCGAUACAAUGGGUUGCGAAGUCGCGAGACGGAGCCAAUCCCAUCAAAGUCGGCCCCAGUUCGGAUUGGAGUCUGCAACUCGACUCCAUGAAGUUGGAAUCGCUAGUAAUCGCAGGUCAGCUAUACUGCGGUGAAUACGUUCUCGAGUCUUGUACUCACCGCCCGUCAAGUCAGGGGAGCCGGGAGUGGCCAAAGUCGCCAGCUCGACUGGGACUACGCCAAGCUCGGUGACAAAGACUAAGUCGUAACAAGGCACGCGUAGCGGAAGCUGUGCGUGGAUUUUCUCCU